CACAAAUCAAGUCUCAACACAUUUUGUUUUUUGUUGAAAGAGAUCAAAAUCAAGGCCUCGAACAUGCUAACCAGGCACUCUACCACUGACCUACAUCCCCAGCUCUUUAAGUUUUUAUUUUGGGACAGGGUCUCAAUAAAUUACCCAGGCUGACCUUGAACUUUUUUUUUUUAAGAGAGAGAGAGAAUUUUAAUAUUUAUUUUUUAGUUAUCGGUGGACACAACAUCUUUGUUUGUAUGUGGUGCUGAGGAUGGAACCUGGGCCACACGCAUGCCAGGCGAGCGCACUACUGCUUUAGCCACAUCCCCAGCCCUGGCCUUGAACUUUUGAUCCUCCUGCCUCAGUCUCCUGAGUAGCUGAGAUUACAGGUGUGUGCUAUUGUGCAAAAUUAUCUUUUAUUAAACAUAUUUUCCUUUUAUUAUGACAUACUUUCACACUUCCAAUCAUGAUAUCUUCCAUCAAAUUUCAUUGAUAUUUAUGCUAUUGCAUUUAGCUCUUUGUGUGUAUUGUAUAUACUCUCAUAUAUAACUAUAAAUCCAUAUGUUCUAUAUGAUAGGUAUUAACACAACAAUCCAAGGAAACUUCUGUCUUUUUGGUACUAGGAAUUGAAUUGAACUCAGGAGCACUUUACUACUGAGCUACAUUCCAGUCCUUUUUUUUUUUUUUUUUCUUUGUGAGACAGGGUCUUGUUAAGUUGCUAAGGAUCUCAUAAAGUUGCUGAGGCUGACCUCAAACUUGGGAUCCUCCUCCCAAGUAGCUAACAGGCAUACACCACAAAAUCCAGCAAAGCCUUACAAGUUCCAUUUUACAAAUGAGAAUAGUGAGAGUUGAAAUAGUUAAAAGUAUCUUAAAGUCACCUCAGUUGGGCUAAGCCAGAACUAGAACUCAGAACUCUCUCAGAAUCUUUACUCUUUCCAUAGUAACAUCCUGGCAUUCAUGAGUACCGUUUCCAACUUUUCACCUCACAUUUUCCCCUGGGAAUUACUAAAUGCCUCCCCGAAAAUUCAUCUACUAAGUAUCUCCUAUGUGAGAGGUUUUGGUUUCAUUGUUGGCCAUAACAAUAAAAUAAACAACCCCUCUGCUCAAAGAACUCAGUCUAGAGGAGAAUGUAAAUUAUUAAUAUAGUGUGAUAAAUGCUACAAUAGAGGUAUGUGCUUUGUCUACUAUUCUGCAUCUUGUGUUCUUCAUGGAAUCCAGUUAUAUAAUUUUAUCUGCUAUUUUUCUCCCUUCUCCUUGAGUUUAAAAGCCCUCUUGAUGAGACCAACAAAUCUCCUGCCAAAUACAUUCUUCUAAUUCUUGUGAAAUUCAGAGGGUACAAAAGACUGGAAGUUUCCCAAACAGCAGAAAUGAUGAGCGAAGGUCUGAUCUAGAAAGGAAGAAGGUCUACUUAAGGACAAAAAGAUUCCUGAAGCUCUUGAUUUAAUCCCCAGCAACACACACACACACACACCUAGAAAUCACCUGAACCAGUGUAGUGAUUCACACCUGUAAUCCCGCCUACUGGGGAAGACGGACAGCCAAGUUUGAGGACAGCCUGGACAAUUUAGCAAGACCCUGAGUGGAAAUAAAAAUCAAAAGGGCUAGGGAUAUAGCUCAAUAUAGAGUGUCACUGAAUUCAAACCCCAGUACUGGGGGGGGGGGGCGAAUCCUGAUGAGAGCGAGUACUGGAAGGCUACUUUGAAAAUGAAGGUUGAUGCACUACAGAUUGCUCAAAAGGCCAGGCUGAGACACGUGCUCCAGUCACUAGGCAAAGAAGACCUAUUGUAUAUUAUCAACUCUGACUGAUAAGAUAAAAAUGUUAUUUUAAGAUUGGCUAUGCAGUGAUGCUUCAAAAAGGCUGAAAUUAGAAAGUUCUGAAGGUCAAAAGCUAAUAAAGCUCAACAAACACCUACUGAAAACUCACAUUCACCGAGGUAAGAAAAUGAAAGCCAGUCACUACUUUUGAAGUGCCUACCCAAUUAGGAGGGGAAACAAACAAACAAACAAAAAUAUAGUAAUGUAAAGUUUGGCACAGUGGCGCACACCUGUAAUUCCAGUUACUUGUGAGGCUGAGGAAGGGGGAUUUCAAGUUUGGGGCCAGUCUGGGCAAUUUAGCAAGACUCUGUCUCAAAAUAAAAAAAAGAGACUGAAGAUGAAGCUCAGCAGUAGUGCACCCAGUUCAAUUCUCAGUACUCAAAAAAAAA
Molecule: long non-coding RNA, 2183 nt
Filed under: Marmota monax (woodchuck)
Lineage: Eukaryota; Metazoa; Chordata; Mammalia; Rodentia; Sciuridae
Source: RNAcentral